RNAcentral lists this ribosomal RNA (253 nucleotides) under uncultured bacterium. RNAcentral's name for it is "partial 16S ribosomal RNA". It matches the Rfam family "Bacterial small subunit ribosomal RNA", at positions 524 to 776 of the family's 1533-position model. The record is from RNAcentral.
UACGGAGGGUGCUAACGUUGUCCGGAAUCACUGGGCGUAAAGCGCAUGUAGGUGGCUUGGUAAGUGAACGAUCAAAGACCGACGCUCAACGUCGGACCGGUUGUUCAAACUGCCUGGCUUGAGGAAGACAGGGGUAAGCGGAACUUUGAGUGUAGGAGUGAAAUCGUAGAUAUCUAAAGGAACACCAAUGGCGAAGGCAGCUUACUGGGUCUUUUCUGACACUGAGAUGCGAAAAGCGUGGGGAGCGAACGGG